Molecule: ribosomal RNA, 401 nt
Filed under: uncultured bacterium
Lineage: Bacteria
Description: bacterial SSU rRNA
Rfam family: Bacterial small subunit ribosomal RNA
Source: RNAcentral
UGGGGAAUAUUGGACAAUGGGCGCAAGCCUGAUCCAGCCAUGCCUCGUGGAUGAUGAAGGCCCUAGGGGUGUAAAGUCCUUUCGACGGGGAAGCUAAUGACGGUACCCGUAGAAGAAGCCCCGGCUAACUUCGUGCCAGCAGCCGCGGUAAUACGAAGGGGGCUAGCGUUGCUCGGAAUCACUGGGCGUAAAGCGCACGUAGGCGGCUUGUUAAGUCGGGGGUGAAAUCCUGGAGCUCAACUCCAGAACUGCCCUCGAUACUGAUGAGCUCGAGUCCGGGAGAGGUGAGUGGAACUGCGAGUGUAGAGGUGAAAUUCGUAGAUAUUCGCAAGAACACCAGUGGCGAAGGCGGCUCACUGGCCCGGUACUGACGCUGAGGUGCGAAAGCGUGGGGAGCAAAC